Molecule: non-coding RNA, 125 nt
Organism: Triticum urartu
Lineage: Eukaryota; Viridiplantae; Streptophyta; Magnoliopsida; Poales; Poaceae
Source: Rfam
AACAUACUCCCUCCGUCCAAAAGUACUUGUCAGAGAAAUGAAUGUAUCUAGACAUAUAUUAGUUCUAGAUACAUCCAUUUUUAUCCAUUUGUGCGACAAGUAUUUUCGGACGGAGGGAGUACUUU